Molecule: ribosomal RNA, 253 nt
Filed under: uncultured bacterium
Lineage: Bacteria
Description: partial 16S ribosomal RNA
Rfam family: Bacterial small subunit ribosomal RNA
Source: RNAcentral
UACGUAGGGUGCGAGCGUUAAUCGGAAUUACUGGGCGUAAAGCGUGCGCAGGCGGUUGUGUAAGUCUGUCGUGAAAUCCCCGGGCUCAACCUGGGAAUUGCGAUGGAGACUGCACGGCUAGAGUGUGUCAGAGGGGGGUAGAAUUCCACGUGUAGCAGUGAAAUGCGUAGAGAUGUGGAGGAACACCGAUGGCGAAGGCAGCCCCCUGGGUUAACACUGACGCUCAGGCACGAAAGCGUGGGGAGCAAACAGG